GAUGAACGCUAGCUACAGGCUUAACACAUGCAAGUCGAGGGGUAGCAGGGUAGCAAUACCGCUGACGACCGGCGCACGGGUGAGUAACACGUAUCCAACCUUCCCAUAACUCGGGGAUAGCCUUUCGAAAGAAAGAUUAAUAACCGAUAGUACUUUUUCAAGGCAUCUUGAGAAAGUUAAAGAUUUAUUGGUUAUGGAUGGGGAUGCGCUCCAUUAGAUAGUUGGUGAGGUAACGGCUCACCAAGUCUUCGAUGGAUAGGGGUUCUGAGAGGAAGGUCCCCCACAUUGGUACUGAGACACGGACCAAACUCCUACGGGAGGCAGCAGUGAGGAAUAUUGGUCAAUGGGCGAGAGCCUGAACCUGCCAAGUAGCGUGAAGGAUGAAGGUCCUAUGGAUUGUAAACUUCUUUUAUAGUAGAAUAAAGUGAUCCACGUGUGGAUUUUUGUAUGUAUACUAUGAAUAAGGAUCGGCUAACUCCGUGCCAGCCGCCGCUGUAA
Molecule: ribosomal RNA, 498 nt
Filed under: uncultured bacterium
Lineage: Bacteria
Description: partial 16S ribosomal RNA
Rfam family: Bacterial small subunit ribosomal RNA
Source: RNAcentral